This 251-nucleotide ribosomal RNA is filed under the name Haemophilus influenzae. RNAcentral's name for it is "partial 23S ribosomal RNA". It matches the Rfam family "Bacterial large subunit ribosomal RNA", at positions 455 to 605 of the family's 2925-position model. Lineage: Bacteria; Pseudomonadati; Pseudomonadota; Gammaproteobacteria; Pasteurellales; Pasteurellaceae. The record is from RNAcentral.
AUCCUCCAAGGCUAAAUACUCCUGAUUGACCGAUAGUGAACCAGUACUGUGAAGGAAAGGCGAAAAGAACCCCGGUGAGGGGAGUGAAAUAGAACCUGAAACCUUGUACGUACAAGCAGUGGGGGCCCCAUCACUUAAUCCGAUUGGAAGGUGAUGAAAAGCAACCGCACUUAAACAAUGGUAAGAGGAGCGAAGCGAGUCAAACCACCCAAAAGAAGCAGUGGGAUUAAGUGAUGGGGUGACUGCGUACC